CAGCCGCCGCGGGAAUACGGAGGGUGCAAGCGUUAAUCGGAAUUACUGGGCGUAAAGCGCACGCAGGCGGUCUGUCAAGUCGGAUGUGAAAUCCCCGGGCUCAACCUGGGAACUGCAUUCGAAACUGGCAGGCUAGAGUCUUGUAGAGGGGGGUAGAAUUCCAGGUGUAGCGGUGAAAUGCGUAGAGAUCUGGAGGAAUACCGGUGGCGAAGGCGGCCCCCUGGACAAAGACUGACGCUCAGGUGCGAAAGCGUGGGGAGCAAACAGGAUUAGAGACCCGCGUAGUCCCUGUCUCUUAUAC
This 301-nucleotide ribosomal RNA is filed under the name uncultured bacterium. RNAcentral describes it as "partial 16S ribosomal RNA". It matches the Rfam family "Bacterial small subunit ribosomal RNA", at positions 509 to 807 of the family's 1533-position model. The record is from RNAcentral.